AGAGUUUGAUCCUGGCUCAGAACUAACGCUGGCGGCGUGCCUAAACACAUGCAAGUCGAACGAAGAAAGCCGCAAAGGUGAGUAAAGUGGCGGACGGGUGCGUAACACGUGGGUAAAUCUAACCUAUUGGCUUGGGAUAAACAGUCCGAAAAGGAUUGCUAAAUACCGGGAUAAAGACCACAGCUUCUGCGGGAGUGGUGGUAAAAAGGCGCUCGCAAGGGUGCCACCGAUUGAUGAGCCCGCGGCCUAUCAGCUUGUUGGCGGGGUAACGGCCCACCAAGGCUACGACGGGUAGCUGGUCUGAGAGGACGACCAGUCACACUGGAACUGAGACACGGUCCAGACUCCUACGGGAAGGCAGCAGUGGGGAAUAUUGCGCAAUGGACGAAAGUCUGACGCAGCAACGCCGCGUGGGUGAUGAAGGCCUUCGGGUUGUAAAGCCCUGUCGCCCGGGACGAACAAGUCGUCUAACUAACGACUCUGACGGUACCGGGAGAGGAAGCACCGGCUAACUCUGUGCCAGCAGCCGCGGUAAUACAGAGGGUGCUAGCGUUGUUCGGAAUUAUUGGGCGUAAAGGGCGCGUAGGCGGCCCUGUGUGUCGGGUGUGAAAGCCCACCUCUUAAAGGUGGAAUUGCAUUCGAAACUACAGGGCUGGAGUGUCGGAGAGGAUGGCGGAAUUCCUGGUGUAGAGGUGAAAUUCGUAGAUAUCAGGAGGAACACCGGUGGCGAAGGCGGCCAUCUGGACGACAACUGACGCUGAGGCGCGAAAGCGUGGGGAUCAAACAGGAUUAGAUACCCUGGUAGUCCACGCUGUAAACGAUGGGUGCUAGGUGUUGUGGGUAUUGACCCCCGCAGUGCCGUCGCUAACGCAUUAAGCACCCCGCCUGGGGAGUACGGCCGCAAGCUAAAACUCAAAGGAAUUGACGGGGGACCGCACAAGCGGUGGAGCAUGUGGUUCAAUUCGACGCAACGCGCAGAACCUUACCUGGGCUUGACAUCCACGGAACCUCUUGGAAACAAGAGGGUGCCUCGCAAGAGGAGCCGUGAGACAGGUGCUGCAUGGCUGUCGUCAGCUCGUGUCGUGAGAUGUUGGGUUAAGUCCCGCAACGAGCGCAACCCUUGUCUGUAGUUGCCAGCGAGUCAUGUCGGGCACUCUACAGAGACUGCCGGCGUUAAGCCGGAGGAAGGCAGGGAUGACGUCAAGUCCUCAUGGCCUUUAUGCCCAGGGCUACACACGUGCUACAAUGGCGACCACAAACCGUUGCUAACUCGCGAGAGUACGCUAAUCGGAAAAAAGUCGCCUCAGUUCAGAUUSCAGUCUGCAACUCGACUGCAUGAAGGCGGAAUCGCUAGUAAUCGCGCAUCAGAACGGCGCGGUGAAUACGUUCCCGGGCCUUGUACACACCGCCCGUCACACCACGAAAGUCGCUUGGACCAGAAAUGCGCUCACCAAGAGCGCACYUAAGGUCUGAGUGGUGAUUGGGGUGAAGUCGUAACAAGGUAACC
This 1507-nucleotide ribosomal RNA is filed under the name uncultured bacterium. Its description in RNAcentral is "16S ribosomal RNA". It matches the Rfam family "Bacterial small subunit ribosomal RNA". The record is from RNAcentral.